RNAcentral lists this ribosomal RNA (502 nucleotides) under uncultured delta proteobacterium. Its description in RNAcentral is "bacterial SSU rRNA". It matches the Rfam family "Bacterial small subunit ribosomal RNA", at positions 903 to 1382 of the family's 1533-position model. The record is from RNAcentral. Lineage: Bacteria; Deltaproteobacteria.
UUGCCAGCCCGCUCAGAAACUUAAAGGAAUUGACGGGGGCCCGCACAAGCGGUGGAGCAUGUGGUUCAAUUCGACGCAACGCGAAGAACCUUACCUGGGCUAGACAACAGUGGACCGUCCUAGAAAUAGGACUUUCCCUUCCGGGGACCGCUGGUUCAGGUGCUGCAUGGCUGUCGUCAGCUCGUGCCGUGAGGUGUUGGGUUAAGUCCCGCAACGAGCGCAACCCUCGUACUUAGUUGCCACCAUUAAGUUGGGCACUCUAGGUAGACUGCCGGCGUUAAGCCGGAGGAAGGUGGGGACGACGUCAAGUCAUCAUGGCCCUUAUGUCCAGGGCCACACACGUGCUACAAUGGGCGGCACAAAGGGUCGCGAACCCGCGAGGGGGAGCCAAUCCCAAAAAGCCGUUCUCAGUUCGGAUUGGAGUCUGCAACUCGACUCCAUGAAGUUGGAAUCGCUAGUAAUCGCGGAUCAGCACGCCGCGGUGAAUACGUUCCCGGGCCUU